CAACAUGUCCCAGCCUACUAUGACUUUCUUUUGUGCAGAGACGUUCUCACAUUUAUCAUGCCGCUCUCUGCGCUGGUGUUGAUGCUGCUGGUCUGCAGUGUUCAGGCUAAUUUUUACAGUAUAGUGGUGAACUACUAUCCACGUGGCAAUGUUUCAACAGGAUCUUCCACUGGCAUCCUUUAUUACAAGUUGGGCUACAGCUCCUGCUUGUAUAGUUUGCCCUACUCCAUCGGUGGUCAGACACUUGUUUUAGACAAGGUCGACGAGGAGAGUAUAGGAGAAUGGUGCCAAACUGAAGGAGUCAUCUCUCGGCUUUUUUCCAGCAACUCUAUAUUUUCAAUUCCGGUCUCUGGCAUAGACUGGAUCUUUGGCAUCAAAAAUGGCAUCGUAUCAUUUAAAAUUCAGGCUCUGGUGGAACUGAGGAUCCGCUCUGACAUCGGCAAAGCCAACACAUCACCACAGACCACUAUCAUACCAGCUAUCAGAGUUCCGUCAAACUGUCCAAGAAAUUUGAGCCUGUUGAUGUUUGAUCCUGAUGGAGACAUAGUGAAAUGCAGAAAUGGAGAUGCAUCACUCUCAGAGUGUAGUCCCUGCACACCACCGUCUGUCCUCAGCCUUUCACCAUCCUCUUGUACUCUGUCAUUCAGCCCCACAAACAGCAGUGAUGAAGGUCCGUAUGCGGUACAGCUGAUGAUAGAGGACUUUCCCAGACAGAACAUAACGUUGACUCAAACCAACGGGACACAAACAAUAAUAACAACCAACGACGCUAUCAGCAAAAUGCCAGUUCAGUUUGUCGUGAGAGUGGAUCCUGCAGUGCCAUCGUGCACAGAGGGACUCUUUCUACCCAUGUUCCUGCCUCCAACCCCAGCCCACAGAACCCAGCUCUACACCUACGUCAAUCAGACUCUGGCUAUCAGCAUCAAGGCACAGACACUUAACUCCACGAUCUCUGAGCUGCUGUUCAGCGCGCCGCACACAGUAACUCAAAAUCAAACAGGCCCAGGACAGUUCACACUGACGUGGACACCAUCUGAUUCAGUAGCUGAACAAAGCCACCCCAUUUGUUUUGUUGUCCAGGCAGUUUUAGGUGCAGCCAAGUACCACUCUGAGCUUCGAUGUGUCAUUGUGACCGUUAGAAAAGAUGUUGCAGCGCUGAAAAUGAAGUUUUCCUCGUCGAUGGAUUUAUCUAAAAUCAAUACCAAUGUCUUCCUAAAUCAGAUUAAACAGAAACUGCAGUCAUACGGACUACCUGAUGACAUCAGUCUGCGCCUCAUAAGCAGUGUGCCACAGAUUGGUGUAACUGUGUCCUCUAAUUCUACAACAUGAACCUGAAGUCCUGCGUCUGCAUGCUCUUUCUUCACUGUGUAUUUACUAGUUCAAGACUUUUAUGUGGAAAGAUAAUAAAAAAUAUUACUUAUAACAGAUAUUUUUGCACUAAACAGGUCUGUCAUAUAACAUUCUUUAUAAUAUUAAAUUUUUAAAGGGAUCUUUCAAGGUUGAAAUUUAUGUUUACUAUUGAUUAAUCCUUCUUUGUUCUUUCUUCCAAUAUCCUUGUCUGGUGGGCUGUGUUCUGUAUGCAAGUGGUCGUGGAGGAUUUUUUUAAUCAUAUUUUUUACAUGAGUGUAAGGUUUGUAAACUGGUUUUGGGUGAAUCAGUUUCUUAUACAGUCGUGUUUAUUUGUUUGGCUUUAGAAAGCUGUUCUUCGAAGUCAUAGCAGCCAGUGGCUGGAAUGAAAAAACAAACAAAAAAACAAUCUCAGUCACAUUUCUGACUUCAAAUUAUUUUUCCUACAAAUUAAAUCAAAC
Molecule: long non-coding RNA, 1808 nt
Organism: Astatotilapia calliptera (eastern happy)
Lineage: Eukaryota; Metazoa; Chordata; Actinopteri; Cichliformes; Cichlidae
Source: Ensembl